UAAUACGGAGGAUCCAAGCGUUAUCCGGAAUCAUUGGGUUUAAAGGGUCCGUAGGCGGUUUGGUAAGUCAGUGGUGAAAGCCCGCAGCUCAACUGUGGAACGGCCAUUGAUACUGCCAGACUUGAAUUACAAGGAAGUAACUAGAAUAUGUAGUGUAGCGGUGAAAUGCUUAGAUAUUACAUGGAAUACCAAUUGCGAAGGCAGGUUACUACUUGUGGAUUGACGCUGAUGGACGAAAGCGUGGGGAGCGAACAGGAUUAGAUACCCUGGUAGUCCACGCCGUAAACGAUGGAUACUAGCUGUUGGGGGCAACUUCAGUGGCUAAGCGAAAGUGAUAAGUAUCCCACCUGGGGAGUACGUUCGCAAGAAUGAAACUCAAAUGAAUUGACGG
Molecule: ribosomal RNA, 391 nt
Filed under: uncultured bacterium
Lineage: Bacteria
Also listed under: 1 other name
Description: bacterial SSU rRNA
Rfam family: Bacterial small subunit ribosomal RNA
Source: RNAcentral